This 253-nucleotide ribosomal RNA is filed under the name uncultured bacterium. RNAcentral's name for it is "partial 16S ribosomal RNA". It matches the Rfam family "Bacterial small subunit ribosomal RNA", at positions 524 to 776 of the family's 1533-position model. The record is from RNAcentral.
UACGUAGGUGGCAAGCGUUGUCCGGAUUUAUUGGGUUUAAAGGGUGCGUAGGCGGCGCGGUAAGUCGGGUGUGAAAUCUCGGGGCUUAACUCCGAAACUGCAUUCGAUACUGCCGUGCUUGAGGACUGGAGAGGAGACUGGAAUUUACGGUGUAGCGGUGAAAUGCGUAGAUAUCGUAAGGAAGACCAGUGGCGAAGGCGGGUCUCUGGACAGUUCCUGACGCUGAGGCACGAAGGUCAGGGGAGCAAACGGG